Long non-coding RNA from Xiphophorus couchianus (Monterrey platyfish), 1654 nucleotides. RefSeq lists it as uncharacterized. The transcript is spliced from 4 exons. The record is from RefSeq and is a predicted model, not a curated record. Lineage: Eukaryota; Metazoa; Chordata; Actinopteri; Cyprinodontiformes; Poeciliidae.
GAAUAUGAUGAGGAAACUCAGCCUGUGUCGUAUUUGACCCCUGUCUCCAUUUUGUUGUGCAUCUUCGGAUCCUUGCUCUUGCUUACUGGACUGAUUUUCUUCAAGAAACACAAAGCCUUGAAACAUGAGACCGUCACAGAUCCAACCAGAGCUACUUAUGCUGUUGUCAACAAACCAAGGAGGAGAAACGGUGGAGAAACCAGAACAGACGACCAAGUCACGUAUGCAUCCAUUGAUAUCAGACCCACAGGGCGGGAAGUUUGUACAGAUCCCUUCAGACAAUAUUCACAGGAACCAAUCUAUUCUCUUGUCAAUAAAUAAUCUGCAUGCCUUUUUCAAAUAAUACUUCAAGAAAACACCAGAAAUUAGUAAAUUCACUAAGUUACACUCAUCUUGUCUCUUAAGCUUAGAAAAUAAUGAAGAACAUAAUGACUGACAAUAAUGAAGACAGACAUUUAUAAAUGUUGAUUGUUUCAAAAUACAACCUCAUGCAGUAUUCAGUGGAACGUCCAAUGUUUGUAUUUGUGUAAUUUGAAGUUAUUUUUAUGAUCUGCUGAACAAAUUUUUUUUUUCAAUCUCAUUCAAGAGCAUUUCAGAAAUAAAGAAAAGCAGGUUAUAAAGUUUAGAGUUUUGAUUUUCAUAUAUGUCAAUUCAAAGAAAAGUUUAAUUACAGAAAGUAUAUGACUCUUAAGGUUUCAGCAGGUAUUGAUGUAUUUUUUUCUUCUUCUAUGGUGUCAUUGAAAAGUGGUUCCACUAAAUUGAAGGGAAACUCUUUUGUUUCCACGAAUGCGAGGCAAGAUUUUGGGAAGCGGGAUUCUUUGCUCUUAUAUUGACCUGCAAAGAAUCGUUCACCAGAUGAAAAUCUGUUUCAGUUCUUUUUUAAAAAGUUCUCCACUAUUAGAUUUUUGUUCCACUUCCUCUGAUGAUGGAGAUCUUCCAUUAUUGUGGUUUUAAGACAUGACCCCACUGUCAUGAGAGCAGGCCCCCAGAUAUUACAACUGAUUAUGAAAAUAUUGCCAAAAGCAAAGUUUUAGCAGAAUUGUUGCAGAAUAUAUAACAUUUACAUAUGUUAUAAAUACAUUCAAAUAUAAAACAAUAUUUGAAUUUUUAAAAAAUGUCUGUUUAAAAGUGAGAAAAUUAAGCGGAUAUAGAUCUAUAAUAGAUUUUCUUUUAGCAUUAUGAAAAUCAAUCUGUUCUCAGAUCAUAUAAAACCAAUCUGGAAAGGUGUACCUCAGGGCUCAUCUUUAGCACCUCUCCUUUCUCUGUCAGAGUUUCUCAUUCACUUCUCUGUCAUUUCAGUCUGAUACUUUAUGUAUAUGAGAAAACAUCAGUUUAAACUAUUUGGAUUCAUUUUAAACUAUUUCAAAACUUGUUAUAUGGUGUGAAGUAGAGACUUGAUUAAGCUCACCUUUUGUUAUGUUACUUUUAACUAUGGAAGAGGGCUGAAUAUUUACAGAAAGAAAAGAUUUAUAGGUUUAAGGCUCAAUUACUGUAAAACUAUUUUUCAAUGUGAACUGCUAAACAAAGUUUACUCUGAAACUGAGACUGACAUUGUGGAAUAAUUUUAUUAAGUAGCCACUUUAACUAUCUGAAUUAAAGGAGGGAAAGACCACACACACACACACACACACACACACCCCUCCACACAUCUGCU